RNAcentral lists this long non-coding RNA (212 nucleotides) under Vigna radiata. RNAcentral describes it as "long non-coding RNA (VRAD_LNC000489)". The record is from RNAcentral. Lineage: Eukaryota; Viridiplantae; Streptophyta; Magnoliopsida; Fabales; Fabaceae.
UGGCACCAGAGCGAGUUUUCAUAAGAUAUUUAAAAAUCUAGUCGACUCUGUUUUUCUUUGAUUUGACUAUAAACCUAGGGAUGGUUUCUUGUUUUCAAACUUUUGGUGAAGGUGCUUCAGAAAACAGACCACCUCUGUUUGCUGGUGAAAAUUAUCCUUUUUGGAAAAUCAGAAUGCAAAUCUUUCUUGAAUCGCGAGAUAAACGAAUUUUA